RNAcentral lists this unclassified non-coding RNA (1029 nucleotides) under Hevea brasiliensis (rubber tree). The record is from RNAcentral. Lineage: Eukaryota; Viridiplantae; Streptophyta; Magnoliopsida; Malpighiales; Euphorbiaceae.
GCCGAACGAGCCAGAUAGAGCUCCAGAGAGUAGGAGGUCAUCGUCAAUGGCGACCUGCUCGGCCCCCUCCAUCCUCUCCUCAAACCCCAGGUCCCUCAUCGGCCCCUCUGCCGCCGCCCGUUCGGCUGCGCCUCUCGCCGGAACCCUAGCCUUUCCUAGGUCGUUCGGCCUCAGGGCGUCCCCUCGUUCCAGAUCUGCUCCGCUGGUCUCCGAUUCCAGAUCUGAGAGGAGUAGAUUUGUUGUUAACGCCGUCAGUGAGGGUGAGGUGCCGUUGGUUGGGAAUGUGGCUCCAGAUUUCGAGGCUGAAGCGGUUUUCGAUCAGGAGUUCAUCAAGGUUAAAUUGUCUGAUUACAUAGGGAAGAAGUAUGUGGUUCUGUUUUUCUAUCCACUGGACUUCACUUUUGUGUGCCCCACAGAGAUAACUGCUUUCAGCGACCGGUACUCAGAAUUUGAGAAGUUAAACACAGAAGUACUGGGCGUUUCAGUCGACAGUGUGUUUUCCCAUCUUGCAUGGGUCCAAACAGAUAGAAAGUCAGGUGGACUCGGAGAUCUGAACUAUCCCCUGGUAUCUGAUGUGACGAAAUCAAUUUCAAAAUCUUUUGGAGUACUGAUUCAUGAUCAGGGAAUUGCAUUGAGAGGUCUUUUCAUCAUCGACAAGGAAGGUGUUAUCCAGCACUCUACCAUUAACAAUCUUGCUAUUGGCAGGAGUGUUGAUGAGACCAUGAGAACUCUUCAGGCUUUGCAGUAUGUGCAGGACAACCCUGAUGAGGUUUGCCCAGCAGGAUGGAAGCCGGGGGAGAAGUCAAUGAAGCCAGACCCGAAGCUCAGCAAGGAAUAUUUUGCAGCUAUCUAAACUUGAAGUCGUCUUUGUAGUAGUCGGUCAUGUUCAUGUUGUGGGCUAGGACCAGUGGUUCUUGUUACCUUCAUUGUGAACUAAAUUGAGUUCUCUUCCUUUCUUGAGCGUUUUUUGUAUUUUUGUACGACUUGCGAAUAAAUUAAAUGGGAGAUCCAAACAUUUCUAAGUUUAUU